CUCUGCUCUCUCACAUGGGCAUCUCUGUCCUCAGGAUGUCCAGAGUACAUAAAGCUUAUCUCAAUGGAGAGGGGCUCUUGGCCACAGACUUUCCCAAGGUCCCCUGAUACCCGCACAGCUUCAGGGUUGCCCACCUCAGCCCAGCCUGAUCUCCAACCCUGCACAUCAGAAGUGACUUGGGGUUGGAGUCAGCAGGCUGGUCACUGCUACUGCUGACAUGCCAGGCCUUGUGUGAAGCCCUCUGUCUCUGUGACCUCCUCAGUUGACCUAGGUGGGAGUGGGGAAUGCUGUGAGGACCCCACUUUCCCACAGGAGGGGGAGGCUCCACAAGGUGCCAUUUUGUCUCCCAAGGUGCAGAGGCAGCCAGGCAGUCUUAUUUUUAAUCAGGACGCUCAGCAGACCAUCAUGGGGAAAAACUCUCCAUUUCCUAGCAUUGUCUAUUCAAAGUCCUGAAAAGCAGGAAGGAUGGCAGUUUUUAAAAAACAGACCUAUAGAGUAAUCACUCCAGAGAUGCUGUUAGGCACUUCACAGAUAUUAACGAUACAGGUUCUAUUAUUAAACCUGUUUUGCGAAUAAGGAAGCUCAGGCAGGGAGGUAGGACGGAUGGCAUCAGCAGGGAUGUGGAGUCGGCUUGCACCCACACAGCUGAGCACAAGCAGAUGGUCUCUUGUAAACUCUGGGUCCAUUCAUUCUCCUCCAGAUCAAAACAGAUCAUGGGUAGUUAGG
This 726-nucleotide long non-coding RNA is filed under the name Marmota monax (woodchuck). The record is from RNAcentral. Lineage: Eukaryota; Metazoa; Chordata; Mammalia; Rodentia; Sciuridae.